Molecule: long non-coding RNA, 405 nt
Filed under: Malus domestica (apple)
Lineage: Eukaryota; Viridiplantae; Streptophyta; Magnoliopsida; Rosales; Rosaceae
Description: long non-coding RNA (MDOM_LNC011194)
Source: RNAcentral
AUUUUCAGACCUUCCUCGAGGACAAAAGAAAAUGUCAGGCUACCCACACCCUCCUUCCGGCUACGGCUACGGCAGCGCUCCACCACCAGGCCAACCUUACGGCGCGCCGCCUCAAGGCCAGCCCUACGGUGCGCCGCCCCAAGGUCAACCCUACGGCGCAACGCCGCAAGGGCAGCACCAGACAGCCCAACCCUACAGUGCUCCGUCUGCACCGUACGGCGCUCCAUCCUCCGCACCGUACGGUGCUCCGGCAGCACCGUACGGCGCGCCUUACGCGCCAGAGAAGCCUUACAAUCCAGACAAGCCUCACAAGAAUCAAGGCGGAGGAGGCGGAGGCGGAGGCGGAUACCCGAAUCAAGGUGGAGGAGGCGGAGGCGGAGGCGGAUACCCGAAUCAAGGUGGAGG